AAAUGGGAGUCUGUCAUAAGACUGCUCUCAGGUGGCAGCUGAAGCUGAGAUUUAACUCUUGAAAGUUCAACUGGGGAAGGAUCUGUGUUCAGCUCACUCAUGUGUUUGUUGACAGGAUUCAGCUCCUUGCAGGCUCUUGGCAAGGGGCCUCAGUCCUUCUUUGGUUGUUGGUAAGAGCCUACCCUCAGUCUGUUGCUGUGUGGGCCUCUCCAUAUGCAGCUUGCUUCAUCAUAAUGAGCAAGCAGAGACAGUGUAAGAAAGUGCUAGGAGUCUUGUGUUACCUAAUCUCAGAGUGAGCAGCUUUCCUCACGCCCAAGGCCAAUUGCUCCGCCUGUGCUUUGGCUCCCAGCCUCUCUUAUCUUCUAGACAAUGGUUGCUAACCAAGACUGCACAUUUGAAUCACCUGUUCAAACCACCAGCUUCCCCUCCUGAUUUGCCAUAGCCUCUUGUCUCCAAUGAGUCUUCCUCUGGCCAAUUUGUCUGAACCACUUCCCAGCCCAUUCGCCACAGAGCACCAGAAGAGCCUGUAUAGAAGCACGACCGCACCAUGCCGCUUCUUCCACCCUUGCAGUCUUGGAAUGCUUCUGCUCAAAGACACCGUAAAAGAGUGAGGAUAUACGUCAUAGACAUGGAGAAGAUAUUUGCAACAUAUCUAAUCAACAAAUCAUUUUAUCCAGAAUAAAGGAUUUUAAAAACUCAAAAAGAAGAAAGGUCAACCCCAAAACAUAAACCAGCCAUUCACAAAAACGACCCAUUAAAUUAUGAAAAGAU
This is a long non-coding RNA of Equus caballus (horse), 771 nucleotides long. RefSeq lists it as uncharacterized. The record is from RefSeq and is a predicted model, not a curated record. NCBI's taxonomy places the organism in Eukaryota, Metazoa, Chordata, Mammalia, Perissodactyla, Equidae.